This is a long non-coding RNA of Zea mays, 2361 nucleotides long. RefSeq lists it as uncharacterized. The record is from RefSeq and is a predicted model, not a curated record. The transcript is spliced from 5 exons. Lineage: Eukaryota; Viridiplantae; Streptophyta; Magnoliopsida; Poales; Poaceae.
UCUGGGCUCUAUAUAACUGUAGAGAGCCCCAGCCCACGUCCGAUCACUUUUUACGCAAGCGAACAGAUUUAUCGUAAACGGAAACCCAUUUUAGCGUAAACAGAGUAACAACCGCGAGCCCUACAUGUUUACGCUAUUCCAUUCUUCCGUUUAUACAUAAUAGUGAUUUAGCAUAACUACUCUAGCCGACCCACGUUCCAGAAAUAAAGGAAUGGGCCCACUACCCCACUUCCCACGCGGUCAAACACUUCUAUACCCUAACCCCCGCGCGGUCAACCAUCCUGGCCGACUCGCCGCGUUUCUUCAGCGGUCGCCUGGGCGAUUCUUGUUCAUCCGCCGCCGCCAGCCCGUUUCGCCGUCCUCCACCGCCGCACGCCCUCAACAUUAAUCGCCGCCGCCGUUGACAGCAUCGUCGAGCCGCUGUCGUUGUCAAUCUUGCGCGCCCCGCGUCACAUUGGCUCACGUCCGCGGUCGCUAUGUCGUCCGGAUUCCAAGUGUGAAUCGCCUUCAUUUGUCUCCGCACGAACUCAACCCUAAUCGGCGCCGCCGUUGACAGUGUCGUCGAGCCGGCCGCUGCUGUCAAUCCUCCGCCACCGCGUCCUAUAGGACCUAGCGCCCCUUUUCGUGGCGGCGGUGCUCCUUUUGGUAUAGAUGUCCCAUUUGGACCACCAGGUCCUGACAUGCUCCCGACAUUUGUCAAUUGGAGUACCUAUGGAGCUGUGACACCAAUACAAGAUCAGGGAGACUGUGGUUCGUGCUGGGCAUUUGGUGUCACCGGUCUCAUAGAGGCAGCUCACUUCAUACGAAACAAGGAGUUAAUAAAACUUUCUGAGCAACACCUGAUAGAUGGAAACAACCUCAGGAACUUUGGAUGCAAACAUGGAUCAUGCUCCGAGGCCCUAGACUACAUUAUGAGAAACGGUGGAAUUAUCAAUGCAGAAAGUUACCCAUACAAGGAAGCCCAAGAGCCUGUCCGGUCUAUCACGGUUCAUGCUGGGCAUUUGGUGUCACCGGUCUCAUAUAGGCAGCUCACUUCAUACGAAACAAGGAGUUAAUAAAACUUUCUGAGCAACACAUAAUAGAUGGAAACAACCUCAGGAACUUUGGAUGCAAACAUGGAUCAUGCUCCGAGGCCCUAGACUACAUUAUGAGAAACAGUAGAAUUAUCAAUGCAGAAAGUUACCCAUACAAGGAAGCCCAAGGGCCUGUCCGGUCUAUCACGGUACAUAAUUCAACCUCCCCACUACACUUGUUUCCACAUCAAAAUAUCAACCCCUACUUCAUAAAGGUAUGUAUAAUUCACAUCAUUGCAUAUAUCUUCACCCACACAAUUUGAGCAUACAAUGAGUCUAAAAGAACAGGUCCGUGAACCUUUAUCAAACCUAAAGCUCUAUGAUAAAUAACUGAACCAUAAUCGCACAAGAACAGUAAGAUCAAUGAAGACCGUUGGUGGGCAUGUGAAAUACCUAUAGGACGCGGUGGCGGAGGAUUGACAGCAGCGGCCGGCUCGACGACACUGUCAACGGCGGCGCCUAUUAGGGUUGAGUUCGCGCGGAGACAAAUGAAAGCGAUUCACACUGCCGGAGUGGGGAAAGAGAUUAGGAAGUUGCAUUGUAAAGCAUAAAAUUAAAAAAUCAACUCGAGCACCUUGGAAUCCGGACGACAUAGCGACCGCGGACGCGAGCCAAUGUGACGCGGGGCGCGCAAGAUUGACAACGGCAGCGGCUCGACGAUGCUGUCAACGGCGGCGGCGAUUAAUGUUGAGGGCGUGCGGCGAUGGAGGACGGCGAAACGGGCUGGCGGCGGCGGAUGAACAAGAAUCGCCCAGGCGACCGCUGAAGAAACGCGGCGAGUCGGCCAGGAUGGUUGACCGCGCGGGGGUUAGGGUAUAGAAGUGUUUGACCGCGUGGGAAGUGGGGUAGUGGGCCCAUUCCUUUAUUUCUGGAACGUGGGUCGGCUGGAGUAGUUAUGCUAAAUCACUAUUAUGUAUAAACGGAAGAAUGGAAUAGCGUAAACAUGUAGGGCUCGUGGUUGUUACUCUGUUUACGCUAAAAUGGGUUUCCGUUUACGAUAAAUCUGUUCGCUUGCGUAAAAAGUGAUCGGACGUGGGCUGGGGCUCUCUACAGUUAUAUAGAGCCCAGGGCUCUUAAUAGAUAAACUAUAUAUAUAUAUAUAUAUAUAUAUAUAUGCCCUUCUAAUAACUCGGGAAGCCAUUGCUAGACGUGCCAUCUGGUUAAGCCAGUUCGGGCGUCUAUAAAAUAAGCCCUAGAGCGGGACGAAAUAAUGGAAGCCCAGGGCUUCCAUUAGUAUCGGGAAGCCCCAGCCAAUUAGACGGAAUCGGUCAGAGCGCAGGUUUGUUCG